UGGAGAGUAGUGGGCAGAGCUGAAGCAGGCCCUCGGGCUUUACCCCUCUCCUUCCAGGCAUAUGCCUCUUCUUCUAAACAUGUACUUCUGAUGGGGGCUGCCCGUCAAAUAGCUCACCCUCUGACUGCAAGUGAUUGGCUUAAAGAUGAGCAUGUGAGCCACACUGGGCCAAUCAGAUCCCUUCCCUGGGAUUUCUGCUCUUGGGCUGGAGGAAGAGGUGAGCCCUGAGCUGACCGUGUCCCGCGCUCUGGGAAGAGGCUGGUCUGAGACAAAGAAGGUGCAGUAAAGAGAGAAGCAGAUGAAGACAAAGGAAAUGUCCAGUUAAAACAUAUUCAUGUCAAAGCCACCGCGUAAGGAACACCUCAGGCCUCCCGGGAAGUGACGUGCAGCAGCCCCAGAGGCCUCGGGCUGACGGGCUGACGCUGAGGCAGCCUAACUGGCAGCCUGGGGCGGGGCACCGAACUCCUCUGGAAGCUUUUAUGAGGAAGAAAUAUUCUGUAGCUGAAAAGAAAAAUAAAAUGUUUGAAAACUGU
Long non-coding RNA from Manis javanica (Malayan pangolin), 533 nucleotides. RefSeq lists it as uncharacterized. Lineage: Eukaryota; Metazoa; Chordata; Mammalia; Pholidota; Manidae. The record is from RefSeq and is a predicted model, not a curated record.